CUGUGCAUCUCCUAAGCUUUUCCAUGACCCUGCAUCUUCUUGUUUGUUCUCAGAUGGGGCAGAUACACUGAAAAGGAAAUGCACAUGGUGCAAAGAAUUCAAGAAAUCACAUGGUUAUCUGGUUGUAUAAAAAACCCUUGUAACUAAAUAAUACCACUAAACUUUAGUUUCACUUUCUCUCUGUGUCCAAUGCAGUUAUUUGUUGGUGUAGACUGGUUGCUAUGUUCUGUUAAAGAAGGUGCAGCACAGUCUCUGACUUUCACGUUUGACUCCACACCAGAGGAAGUAUCUACACUGCACUUUUUAGGACAUGAACACUUUCAUCCCAGACAUGGCCAGCAAGCUUGGAGCAGCAAGCCUGCGCUGCAAGGACCUGCAAGGAGGAGAGGAGGAUGGUAGUAAAAAGGAAGAACCUGGAUAUAAGAAAGUAUUUUUCAAAGAAACCUGUAAGUCACUUAAAGACAAGUUAACUCAUAAAAUUGUGUCCGUCACAAUAACGUUACAGGCUAUGCUAGGCUUUGGCCCACAUCAGUCUAAAAUUGUAUGUAACCAUGAAUAACGUGUUUUGGAAACUAACUGCACAACAGGCAGCACUAUUAGUUAUCUCAGUCCCAGAGUAGCAUUUCACAGGUGACUGACUGAUGAUUUGGUGCUAUAGAUUAACUAGUAUUUGUUAUCAUGACAAUUGUUAGGCUGCUGAUGUAAAUUGAUUCAUUAGUGUAUAUUUGACAAAGAAUGUGAAUCGACAUGUCUCACUUUUUAUAUGGCACGAAUCAAUGUGUUAUUUUAUCAGGUAGCAAUAUGUCCUAGUGCAGUCAGAGGGGAAGAACCAGGGCCAAAGGUGAGGCACAUCAAGCACAGAAUAAUCAUUUUAAUCUGAGGAUAAAACACAUGUACUGAGGCUGAAAGAAGCUUCAGUGCUCUCAGAAGACUAAAAAGAUGGCUAAGGUCAACAAUGACUCAAAUGAGAUUAAACAAUGUUGCUGUAUGCCAUGUCCACCAGGAGAGACUGGACAGUAUAGAUGUAAAACAAAUAUGCCAGCAGUUUAUCUCAGUUAACGAGAGGAGAAGGCAUGUGUUUGGCUCCCUCACAUAGUGGACAUUGAGUUGUUGUGUGGGGCACCAGUAGUCCAUAUCUGUUGCUGUAACAGUAGUUCAUGUUUAGAAUAAAAAAUCACAGCUCACUGAUUUGAUCCGGGCAACAGUGUGCCUAAAAUGUUGCAUAAUUUUGCUGACAGAUCUUUUGUGGUAAUCUUAGCUGAGUAGUUCUAUGGACAAAAAACACCAGGUCAUUCAGUGUUCCCUUAGUGCAAAUGUGUAAGAGAUGUUGGUGUACUAUAACUGAAGUAAUGUUGUUAAGUCCUUAAAGUCAUAUUCUUUUAUUGUCAUGACUGUAUUUGAAGCUAUUUUUAUUUUUGUAUGAUACCUGAUUUAUAUGGAAUAUGGCUGAAGUAAACUAAAGUCUAAAAUACUUCAGUCAAUCAUUUGUUUAAUAGUAAUUUAACAUUAUGUAAUUCAUAUAUAAAACUAUAAAUUGUAAUUUUAAAUGGUUUAAAGGUACGUAGAAUAGCAUAUGUAGGCAAGUAUAUUUCUCCUCUUUUUUUUUUUUUCUCAAGAAGCAAAGACAAAAAGGGGUAAAAAAAGAAACAGGGCAGGGUUUGGUGGUUGAAUCAUCCGUCCCCACCAAUGCCAAAAACAAAUCUACACCCUUGGUUGUAACACAUCUUUUUGGGGUACUUUUUAAAAACAAGCAAAUUUUUUGAAUCUAGAAAAAUCUAUCCCAAAACUUGGUUAAUGUUCAGAAGAAAAGAUUUAUGCAUUUACAACCUGAUGUAGAUCCCAAUUCAUUGUUUCUGAGCUUUCUAUACAGAUUCUGGCAGGAGAACUGGAAACAGUUCAGUCAUAGACAGUGGCAUGUCUAUGACUGAAGAGUGUUCAAAAGGCAAAGUUGUUUGAUACCAGGUUUGAUAAGGAGAGAAUUACUAAAAA
This is a long non-coding RNA of Oreochromis niloticus (Nile tilapia), 1989 nucleotides long. The record is from Ensembl. NCBI's taxonomy places the organism in Eukaryota, Metazoa, Chordata, Actinopteri, Cichliformes, Cichlidae.